AUCUUCGGCAAUGGGCGCAAGCCUGACCGAGCGACGCCGCGUGGGCGAUGAAGGCCAUUAGGUUGUAAAGCUCUGUCGAGGGGGAACAAGCCGCAAGGUUGAGUGAUCCCUGGAGGAAGCACGGGCUAAGUUCGUGCCAGCAGCCGCGGUAAGACGAACCGUGCGAACGUUGUUCGGAAUCAUUGGGCUUAAAGGGCGCGUAGGCGGGUUGACAAGUCCGGGGUGAAAGCCUCCAGCUCAACUGGAGAAGAGCCCCGGAUACUGUCAGUCUGGAGAGGGAUAGGGGCACAUGGAACUUCCGGUGGAGCGGUGAAAUGCGUAGAGAUCGGAAGGAACGCCGGUGGCGAAAGCGAUGUGCUGGAUCUUUUCUGACGCUGAGGCGCGAAAGCUAGGGGAGCAAACGGGAUUAGAUACCCCGGUAGUCCUAGCCCUAAACGAUGGGUACUGGGUUGCGGGUCAGACAUAGACUCGCAGCCGGAGCAAAAGUGUUAAGUACCCCGCCUGGGGAGUAUGGUCGCAAGGCUGAAACUCAAAGGAA
Molecule: ribosomal RNA, 538 nt
Filed under: uncultured bacterium
Lineage: Bacteria
Description: bacterial SSU rRNA
Rfam family: Bacterial small subunit ribosomal RNA
Source: RNAcentral